RNAcentral lists this long non-coding RNA (496 nucleotides) under Carica papaya (papaya). Its description in RNAcentral is "long non-coding RNA (CPAP_LNC011766)". The record is from RNAcentral. Lineage: Eukaryota; Viridiplantae; Streptophyta; Magnoliopsida; Brassicales; Caricaceae.
AUAGUGAUAUAUACACCGCUUGCGGCGGCGAUUCGCCUUGAGUUGGCCGUUUUCGGCCGAAUUCGGUCACGCUUGCAUCGGUCCCUGCGAUAGAACAGCCCUAGGGCCCUCGGUGGGCCGAAAAAUUACGAAAAAUUAAAACUUACCGGCGGUGGUGCUCUCGGGUGCGACGGCUCCUCCGGCGUGAGUCGUGUUUUGAUAUUUGGCUCCGAUCAACCUAUAGAGAAAAGAACGGUGAUCACAGUGGUAUAAAAUUUACAUCAAACGGAGGUCGGGAAGGGCCUCAUCGGAGGCAAAAACCGAGGAGGGGCGCGGCGGCGCCGUUGGAUUUCGGCUGGGUUUUCCAGCCAUUUGGUUGGUGGUUUGGCUCUAGUUUGGCCAUAGGUGGACUCAGCGUCGAAAAACGAGCAAGGGGGAGAAAAUUUACCUCGAUCGACGGUCGGAAACUUCCCCGGUGCGGCGGCGAGUGGCGGCGGCCGGCUCCUCCGGCUUCUGG